Molecule: ribosomal RNA, 466 nt
Filed under: uncultured Oomycota
Lineage: Eukaryota; Oomycota
Description: LSU rRNA
Rfam family: Bacterial large subunit ribosomal RNA (bases 1-83)
Source: RNAcentral
GUGCGAGACCGAUAGCGAACAAGUACCGUGAGGAAAAGAUGAAAAGAACUUUGAAAAGAGAGUUAAAGAGUACCUGAAACUGCUGAAAGGGAAGCGAAUCGUAUCCAGUGUCUAUAAUCUGCGGCAUAUUUCAUUGGCGGCGGUGCGCGUGCUUUUGCGUCGGAAGCGGCUUUUGUUGCUCUGUGCUUUUGCUGUGCGUGGUGUUGCUGGUGCCCUGUGUUGCGGUGGGACGUCAGAGUCAGUUUGUAUGCUGCGGGAAAUGGCUGCCGAGGAGGUAGGUCGAGAUUUCGGUCUUGGCUGUUAUAUCUUGGUGGUUUGUUGUCGUGGUUGAGACUGAGGUGCCUACAAUGUGCUUUUGAGUGCGCCGGGUUCUCAUUUGGUGGACUGUUUGGAUAGCUUGCUAUGCUUGUGGUUUUUUCAUCGGGUGAUUGAGUCUGGUGGUAACUUGUUGCUGUUCGGGACUUUG